AUAUUGGACAAUGGGGGCAACCCUGUUCCAGCCAUGCUCCGUGUGUGAAGCAGGUCUUCGGAUUGUAAAGCACUUUAAGUUGGGAGGAAGGGCUUUAGGUUAAUACCGUGAAGUUUUGACGUUACCAACAGAAUAAGCACCGGCUAACUCUGUGUCAGCAGCCGCGGUAAUACAGAGGGUGCAAGCGUUAAUCGGAAUUACUGGGCGUAAAGCGCGCGUAGGUGGUUCAGUAAGAUGGGUGUGAAAUCCCCGGGCUUAACAUGGGAACUGCUUUCAUAACUGCUGAGCUAGAGUACGGUAGAGGGUAGUGGAAUUUCCUGUGUAGCGGUGAAAUGCGUAGAUAUAGGAAGGAACACCAGUGGCGAAGGCGACUACCUGGACUGAUACAGACACUGAGGUGCGAAAGCGUGGGGAGCAAACA
This 421-nucleotide ribosomal RNA is filed under the name uncultured bacterium. Its description in RNAcentral is "partial 16S ribosomal RNA". It matches the Rfam family "Bacterial small subunit ribosomal RNA", at positions 361 to 774 of the family's 1533-position model. The record is from RNAcentral.